UCAUGGCCUCCAUGAAAUGGGCUAAAGCAUAGUAUUAAGUGGGCCUCUUUCUUGGAACGCGCAUUACGGCGCGACGAGUCCCUCUCCGCUUCUGCUACGGAGAAACGAUCAAUCGAUCUAUGAAGCUGAACUGGUAAUGGGGCGAACGAAGCAUCCUCGAGGAGGAGGCGGAGAUUCCCAGGCUAUCGACUUCCAAUUCUCCGUGUCGGCUUCUCUGCAGGGGUACCACGAUCUUGUCUUUUCCUCUUCCACUAACUCGUUUCCGGUUCCUUUUCUGGUGCAGAUCGAGGAGGAGGCGUUGGCGGUGUCGAGCACGACUCCCACGCUAUGCACUUCCGAGGUUGGAGAAUUCUUCUUCCCCUAAUCACUCCUUGUAGGCCGGCAUGACGAUCUUGCCUUUUUCUCUUACACCAAUUCCUUUCCGACGGUUCCUUUUCCGGUACAGAUCAAGAGGAGACGGUCCGGGAGCACGCCCGUGUGUUCGUUGUCGGCUCCUGGUCCACUCCAUCUUAUUGGGCUCAUGAGAUGGAUAGGAGGUCAUGAGAUGUGAUAUUAAAGUACAUAUUGGGCUCUAUUGGGGAUGUUGAAGCGUAUAUUGGGUUCUAUUCUACCUGCUUACAGGAAUGAUCCAGGGGGACAUCAGUCAAUAGAAGCAUCACAAGCCGCAGGUGGAUUGGAGGAUCUCAUGCCAUACAUGAGCCUGACUUUAUUACAUCCUGGUUAACCCUCAAAAGGUUCGAGUGAUGUUGCUUUCUUUGAGGUUCACCAAUUGUAAUGAGAGAAAAAGAUAGGAGUCUUAUCACCUUGGAAUAUGGAAUCUUGGACAUAGGCCACACAGUAUGAGAGAGGGAGAGAGAGGAGAUUCCAAGUGGCUGAGUGCGCCAGGAAUGUGUGCGGCAAAACCUGUUGUCAUCACCUGAUGUAGCAGAAGUGCAGAAGACAAGGAGCCUAUCGGUUGGCUUGCCUGUGAAGGAGAAGGAUGAACAACUGUUAUUGGGUCCACUAUCAAAAAGCUUAGAUCCACAACAGAGAGAGAGAGAGAGAGAGAGAGAGAGAGAGAGAGAGAGAUGGUUGUGUUAAUUUUUCUCUCUGCAAAUUAUUGUGUACUCUUAUCAUUCUUAUAGAUUAGGAAAAUAAACAUCGACUAAGUAGUCGAUUUUUACCAUUGAAUUCAAGAGGGUGGUGAAGUUUCCACGAUCCUUCUCCAUCCACCUCUUGGAGGUUCAUUGAACCCAGACUAUUUUUGAUAUAAAUCCAUGGAAUUCAAGAGGGUGGUGAAGUUUCCACGAUCCUUCUCCAUCCACCUCUUGAGGCUCAUUGAAUCCAGACUACUUUUGAUAUAAAUCCUUGAAUCCCUGUAUGAUGUUCUAAUAUGCAAAAUAUUAAAUAUGCUUGAUGGAUGUUUACACCCACAGGACCAGAUCUUAUUUCAUAAGUUUCUCUUUCUUAUUCUCAAGUGGAUUUGUUUGUUUCAUCUUUUUUUUUCCUUUUAAUUUCUUUCGAGAAAGAUAUAAUUUAUUUAUUUUAUUAAUUUUUUUUAUUGAAAUGAAUGGAUUUCACGUGUAUCCUCCUAUUCAUGGUGGAUUAACAAAAAUAUGCAAUAGCUCUAUUUGCCUCUGCCAUUUUCUGCCUUUUCGUGUAUGAUAUGAUCAUUUCCAUCUAAUUUUUUCUGUCUCUUU
Musa acuminata AAA Group (dessert banana) is the source of this 1679-nucleotide long non-coding RNA. RefSeq lists it as uncharacterized. The transcript is spliced from 4 exons. The record is from RefSeq and is a predicted model, not a curated record. Lineage: Eukaryota; Viridiplantae; Streptophyta; Magnoliopsida; Zingiberales; Musaceae.